GCGGGUAUGAUGUAGUGGUAGCUUGUCAGCUUCCCAAGCUGAUCGUGCGGGUUCGAUUCCCGCUACCCGCUCCA
This 74-nucleotide transfer RNA is filed under the name Rhizobium giardinii. RNAcentral describes it as "tRNA-Gly". It matches the Rfam family "tRNA". From Rfam's summary of the family: Transfer RNA (tRNA) molecules are approximately 80 nucleotides in length. Their secondary structure includes four short double-helical elements and three loops (D, anti-codon, and T loops). RNAcentral also lists the same sequence under 22 other names. Lineage: Bacteria; Pseudomonadati; Pseudomonadota; Alphaproteobacteria; Hyphomicrobiales; Rhizobiaceae. The record is from RNAcentral.